Long non-coding RNA from Oncorhynchus nerka (sockeye salmon), 1216 nucleotides. RefSeq lists it as uncharacterized. The record is from RefSeq and is a predicted model, not a curated record. Lineage: Eukaryota; Metazoa; Chordata; Actinopteri; Salmoniformes; Salmonidae. The transcript has 3 exons.
UAUGACAUCAAAACAAAGGGGGUGUAAAUGCAAAUAUAUAUACACUAAACGUAUGUGGACACCCCUUCAAAUUUGUGGAUUUGGCUAUUUCAGCCACACCCAUUGCUGACAGGUGUAUAAAAUCGACCACACAGCCAUGCAAUCUCCACAGACAAACAUUGGCAGUAGAAUGGCCUUACUGAAGAGCACAGUGACUGUCAUAGAAUGCCACAUUUCCAACAAGUCAGUUCGUCAAAUUUCUGCCCUGCUAGAGCUGCCCUGGUCAACUGUAAGUGUUGUUGUAAAGUGGAAACAUCUAGCAGUAACCACGGUUCAGCCAUGAAGUGGAAGGCCACACAAGCUCACAGAACGGGACCGCUGAGUGCUGGAGCGCGUAGCGUGUAAAAAUGGUCUGUUGCAACACUCACUACUGAGCUUUUUUAAAACGAGCAGCUGCACACAAGCCUUAGAUCACCCGGGGGGCAGGCCGGGCCGCAACACAAGGAAGGUAUAUUCUCCCUGAUAACCGGGAGGAGAAUGACCAGUCCACCCAUAAGUGAUGGUGUACGUCAGAGGCUCCAGAAGAGAGCCCAGCAUCGACCACUUUGUCAAGAAAGUCUGAUUCUUCCUGCAACCCCAGCUACAAGCCCAAUGAGGCACUGGAAGUCAGGACAAUGACCCAACACACAUCCAGGCUGUGUAAGGGCUAUUUGACCAAUAAUGAGAAUGAUGGAUUGCUGCAUCAGAUGACCUGGCCUCCACAAUCACCUGACCUCAACUGAAUUGAGAUGGUUUGGGAUGAGUUGGACCGCAGAGUGAAGGAAAAGCAGGCAACAAGUGCUCAUAUGACUGUUGGAAAAGCAUUCCAGGUGAAGCUAGUUGAGAUAAUUCCAUGAGUGUGCAAAGCUGUCAUCAAGGCAAAGGGUGGCUACUUUGACAAAUCUAAAAUCUAUUUUGAUUUGUUUAACACUUUUUUGAUUACUACAUGAUUCCAUGUGUGUUAUUUCAUAGUUUUGAUGUCUUUACUAUUAUUCUACAAUGUUGAAAUAAAGAAAAACCCUUCAAUAAGUAGGUGUGCCCAAACUUUUGACUGGUACUGUAUAUAUAUAUAUAUACACACACACAGUGCCUUCGGGAAAGUAUUCAGAAACCUUGACUUUUUCCACAUUUUGUUAUGUUACAGCCUUAUUAUAAAAUGUAUUAAAUAUUUUUUUCCCCUUCAUCAAUCUACACACAA